Molecule: ribosomal RNA, 587 nt
Filed under: Fusarium oxysporum f. sp. lycopersici
Lineage: Eukaryota; Fungi; Ascomycota; Sordariomycetes; Hypocreales; Nectriaceae
Description: SSU rRNA
Rfam family: Bacterial small subunit ribosomal RNA
Source: RNAcentral
UAACACCAUAGGACUGGCCGUCCCAUAUGAAAAGAUUAUAUUAGAAUUGAAUGAAGCUUUGUUUAUAUAUUGAUAAUGACAGUAUAUAUAUCGUGUCUUGACUAAUUGCGUGCCAGCAGUCGCGGUAAUACGUAAGAGACUAGUGUUAUUCAUCUUAAUUAGGUUUAAAGGGUACCCAGACGGUCAAUAUAGCUUAUAAAAUGUUAGUACUUGACUAGAGUUUUAUGUAAGAGGGCAGUACUUGAGGAGGAGAGAUGAAAUUUCGUGAUACCAAAGGGACUCUGUAAAGGCGAAGGCAGCCCUCUAUGUAAAAACUGACGUUGAAGGACGAAGGCACAGAGAACAAACAGGAUUAGAUACCCAAGUAGUCUUUGCAGUAAAUGAUGAAUGCCAUAGGUUAGAUGGGUCAAUUAUAGUCUAGGGUUAGUCUAGCAAACUAAUACCCUAUGCUAUAAUUCCUAAUAUCUGGUCUAUAAAUGAAAGUGUAAGCAUUUCACCUCAAGAGUAAUGUGGCAACGCAGGAACUGAAAUCACUAGACCGUUUCUGACACCAGUAGUGAAGUAUGUUAUUUAAUUCGAUUAAUCCG